This 975-nucleotide long non-coding RNA is filed under the name Equus caballus (horse). RNAcentral's name for it is "lncRNA (ENSECAG00000036383.3)". Lineage: Eukaryota; Metazoa; Chordata; Mammalia; Perissodactyla; Equidae. The record is from RNAcentral.
GCUACGAUGAGAUAGAACAGGGCAACAGGAUGGCGCAAGCACGGGGCAGAGGCAGUGGAGUCCUGAAGAUGAGAAGGUGCGAGCCUUAGGAAGAUCUGGGGAGACACGUCCUGCAUAGAGGGAGCAGUUGGUCUGAAGGUCCUAAGGACAUCAGUGCUCUUGGCUCUUGGGCAUUUGGACUCAGAGCGGAACUUACACCAUUGAGCCCCAAUUAUCAGGCCCUUGGAUUGGACUGAACUACACCACGGGUUUUCCUGUUUCUCCGGCUUGGAGAUGCCAGAUCGUGGGAUCCCUGGAUUUCACAACCAAGACUAGUGAGACAGCAAUUAACGUGAAGCUAUUACCCUCAUUUGGGUCUGGAGGGAAGGUGGUGCAGCCAGGAGACAACUUCAGGAGGUAAGAAACAGCCUCCGCCAGGGGGAACACUGGACAUAUGAUCUAAAGAAGAGCCUGAGGUCACCAGAUCACACAGAUGGGAAAGAGUGUCCAGGCAGAAGGACCUCAAGGAACUGGAGACACUGGUGAUGACCGAAGCCCUGAGAACAGGGGAGCGCCGUGCAGCAUGAGGCUGGUGAGGAUCUCCCUCUCAAGUCUAAAACAUGAGAUAAUUAUGAGAACUUAUUGAACUACGCUUCAUGAAGUGGACAAGACAGAAGUUGGAACGUGGCAACAGACUUUCCAUGAAUGGCGCCAACUGUUGCUCUGGAGUUCUGGUGCCCACUCUGGCUGCCCCUUGGAAUCACCUGGGGAGCUGGACUCUACAGACGUUUAUCUUCCUCUGCUGGGCUAGAAUCUCCCAAAGGGCCACUCUGCUCCCUUCUCCUCCUGCUCAGGGUCCUGCAGUGACUCAUCUGCGUGGACUCCAACAGUGGGGCUCCUUGGCCCUCUGGAUUCUGGUUGGGUUGGCCAAUGGAAAGCUCUAAGAGAGAAGAGGAAGAUUGAAGUUGCCUCAGUCUGGCUGUGUCCCUUGACUGA